This 107-nucleotide small nuclear RNA is filed under the name Bison bison bison. Lineage: Eukaryota; Metazoa; Chordata; Mammalia; Artiodactyla; Bovidae. The record is from RNAcentral.
GUGCUCACUUCAGUGGCACAUAUACUAACAUUGGAAUGAUAUGGGGAAGAUUAGCAGGGCCCCUACACAAGGAUGACAUGCAAAUUUGUGAAGCAUUCUGUAUUUUU